This 481-nucleotide ribosomal RNA is filed under the name uncultured bacterium. RNAcentral's name for it is "bacterial SSU rRNA". It matches the Rfam family "Bacterial small subunit ribosomal RNA", at positions 30 to 507 of the family's 1533-position model. The record is from RNAcentral.
AUUGAACGCUGGCGGUAUGCUUAACACAUGCAAGUCGAACGGUAACAGGCCUUCGGGCGCUGACGAGUGGCGGACGGGUGAGUAACGCGUAGGAAUCUGCCUCAUAGUGGGGGACAACGUGGGGAAACUCACGCUAAUACCGCAUACGCCCUACGGGGAAAGCGGGGGAGUCUUCGGACCUCGCGCUAUGAGAUGAGCCUGCGUUAGAUUAGCUAGUUGGUAGGGUAAAGGCCUACCAAGGCGACGAUCUAUAGCUGGUCUGAGAGGACGAUCAGCCACACUGGGACUGAGACACGGCCCAGACUCCUACGGGAGGCAGCAGUGGGGAAUAUUGGACAAUGGGCGCAAGCCUGAUCCAGCAAUACCGCGUGUGUGAAGAAGGCCCUAGGGUUGUAAAGCACUUUCAAUUGGGAGGAAAACCUGCCGGUCAAUACCGGCAGCUUGACAUUACCUUUAGUAAGAAGCACCGGCUAACUCCGUG